GGAUUAGAUACCCUGGUAGUCCACGCCGUAAACGAUGAGUGCUAGAUAUCGGGGCAAUUAGGCUUCGGUUUCGCAGCUAACGCAUUAAGCACUCCGCCUGGGGAGUACGGUCGCAAGAUUAAAACUCAAAGGAAUUGACGGGGGCCCGCACAAGCGGUGGAGCAUGCGGUUUAAUUCGAUGCUACGCGAAAAACCUUACCAACCCUUGACAUGGUGGUCGCGGAUUACAGAGAUGUUUUCCUUCAGCUCGGCUGGACCACACACAGGUGUUGCAUGGCUGUCGUCAGCUCGUGCCG
This 296-nucleotide ribosomal RNA is filed under the name uncultured bacterium. RNAcentral's name for it is "partial 16S ribosomal RNA". It matches the Rfam family "Bacterial small subunit ribosomal RNA", at positions 775 to 1067 of the family's 1533-position model. The record is from RNAcentral.